GCAAUGGGGGGGUGCUAAUACAUGCAAGUCGAGCGGACAGAUGGGAGCUUGCUCCCUGAUGUUAGCGGCGGACGGGUGAGUAACACGUGGGUAACCUGCCUGUAAGACUGGGAUAACUCCGGGAAACCGGGGCUAAUACCGGAUGGUUGUUUGAACCGCAUGGUUCAAACAUAAAAGGUGGCUUCGGCUACCACUUACAGAUGGACCCGCGGCGCAUUAGCUAGUUGGUGAGGUAACGGCUCACCAAGGCAACGAUGCGUAGCCGACCUGAGAGGGUGAUCGGCCACACUGGGACUGAGACACGGCCCAGACUCCUACGGGAGGCAGCAGUAGGGAAUCUUCCGCAAUGGACGAAAGUCUGACGGAGCAACGCCGCGUGAGUGAUGAAGGUUUUCGGAUCGUAAAGCUCUGUUGUUAGGGAAGAACAAGUACCGUUCGAAUAGGGCGGUACCUUGACGGUACCUAACCAGAAAGCCACGGCUAACUACGUGCCAGCAGCCGCGGUAAUACGUAGGUGGCAAGCGUUGUCCGGAAUUAUUGGGCGUAAAGGGCUCGCAGGCGGUUUCUUAAGUCUGAUGUGAAAGCCCCCGGCUCAACCGGGGAGGGUCAUUGGAAACUGGGGAACUUGAGUGCAGAAGAGGAGAGUGGAAUUCCACGUGUAGCGGUGAAAUGCGUAGAGAUGUGGAGGAACACCAGUGGCGAAGGCGACUCUCUGGUCUGUAACUGACGCUGAGGAGCGAAAGCGUGGGGAGCGAACAGGAUUAGAUACCCUGGUAGUCCACGCCGUAAACGAUGAGUGC
Molecule: ribosomal RNA, 800 nt
Filed under: Bacillus tequilensis
Lineage: Bacteria; Bacillati; Bacillota; Bacilli; Caryophanales; Bacillaceae
Description: bacterial SSU rRNA
Rfam family: Bacterial small subunit ribosomal RNA
Source: RNAcentral